RNAcentral lists this ribosomal RNA (377 nucleotides) under uncultured bacterium. Its description in RNAcentral is "bacterial SSU rRNA". It matches the Rfam family "Bacterial small subunit ribosomal RNA", at positions 521 to 896 of the family's 1533-position model. The record is from RNAcentral.
UAAUACGUAGGGGGCUAGCGUUGUCCGGAAUCAUUGGGCGUAAAGAGCGCGUAGGCUGCCAGAUAAGUCCGGUGUGAAAGUCACAGGCUCAACCUGUGAAUGCCGCUGGAAACUGUCUGGCUAGAGUCCGGAAGGGGCGAGUGGAAUUCCUGGUGUAGCGGUGAAAUGCGCAGAUAUCAGGAGGAACACCAAUGGCGAAGGCAGCUCGCUGGGACGGUACUGACGCUGAGGCGCGAAAGCGUGGGGAGCAAACAGGAUUAGAUACCCUGGUAGUCCACGCCGUAAACGAUGGGCACUAGGUGUCGGAGGUGUCGACUCCUCCGGUGCCAAAGCUAACGCAUUAAGUGCCCCGCCUGGGGAGUACGGCCGCAAGGCUA